RNAcentral lists this unclassified non-coding RNA (314 nucleotides) under plant metagenome. RNAcentral's name for it is "partial contains 5.8S ribosomal RNA, internal transcribed spacer 2, and large subunit ribosomal RNA". The stretch from base 1 to 105 matches the Rfam family "5.8S ribosomal RNA", at positions 50 to 154 of the family's 154-position model. The record is from RNAcentral.
GAAACGCGAUAGUUAAUGUGAAUUGCAGAAUUCAGUGAAUCAUCGAGUCUUUGAACGCACAUUGCGCCCAUAGGUAUUCCUUUGGGCAUGUCUGUUUGAGCGUCAUUACAACCCUCAGCUAACCGCUGGUUUUGAACCUGAACGGGUGACACCGCGCCGGUUUUAAAGUUGUAAGAUCUGCUGGCCGCUCUGCCCAACCAGAACAUAGUAAGCACUACUUGUCCGGGUGAAGCUGAACGGUACGGCCUGAACAAAACCUACCCACUCUCAAGGUUUGACCUCAGAUCAGACAAGGAUACCCGCUGAACUUAAGC